AUCUAGACUCGUACCUUUUGCAUCAUGAUUUAGCUAGAAAACCUCAAGCAAAGAGCACUUUAGUUUGAUUCCCCGAAACUACGUGAGCUACUCCAAGACAGCCUAACAACUAGGGCAAACCCGUCUCUGUGGCAAAAGAGUGGGAAGAUCUUUGAGUAGAGGUGACAGACCUAUCGAACCUAGUUAUAGCUGGUUGCCUGGGAAAUGAAUAGAAGUUCAGCCUCUCGGAUUCUCCCCUCACUCCACCCACCCCCUCCGACAACUAAAAGAAACCGAAAGAGUUAGUCGAAGGGGGUACAGCCCCUUUGACACAAGAUACAACUUUCCCAGAAGGGUAAAGAUCAUAUCCAGCACCAAGGUAAAAUGUUUAGGUGGGCCCAAAAGCAGCCACCCCAUAGAAUGCGUUAAAGCUCAGACAUGACUACCACCCCCAAUCCUGACAAUCUUAUCUUAACCCCCUAACCCUACCAGGCCAUUCCAUGCAGACAUGGAAGUGACCAUGCUAAUAUGAGUAAUAAGAGAGUAUAAACCUCUCUCCUUGCACAAGUGUA
RNAcentral lists this ribosomal RNA (551 nucleotides) under Trachinotus ovatus (derbio). RNAcentral describes it as "partial 16S ribosomal RNA". It matches the Rfam family "Bacterial large subunit ribosomal RNA", at positions 591 to 1347 of the family's 2925-position model. The record is from RNAcentral. Lineage: Eukaryota; Metazoa; Chordata; Actinopteri; Carangiformes; Carangidae.